AAAGAAACUAACAAGGAUUCCCCUAGUAACGGCGAGUGAAGAGGGAAGAGCUCAAAUUUUAAAUCUGCCUUGUUCCAAGGUCGAGUUGUAAUUUGAAGAAGCGUUUUCUUGGGCUCGCGGCCGGUAGAAGUUCUUUGGAACAGGACAUCAUAGAGGGUGACAAUCCCGUCCGUGACCGGUCGUGCGUUCAUCUACGAUACGCUUUCAAAGAGUCGAGUUGUUUGGGAUUGCAGCUCCAAACGGGUGGUAAACAUCACCUAAGGCUAAAUAUUGGCGAGAGACCGAUAGCGAACAAGUACCGUGAGGGAAAGAUGAAAAGAACUUUGAAAAGAGAGUUAAACAGUACGUGAAAUUGUUGAAAGGGAAACGAUUGAAGUCAGUCGUGCUGGCGCGAAAUCAACCCUCUCGUCUUGAGAUCACAUGGCGCGACGAGCCUCAAAACCGUCACGAAGCGUGAACUCUUGACGAAAAGGUGCACUUUCGUGUCCGCUGGUUAACAUCAAUUUCGAACGUCAUAAAAAGGCUGGAGGGAUGUGGCUCCUUCGGGAGUGUUAUAACCUUUAGCGGAAUGUGGCGUUCGGGAUUGAGGAUUGCAACGAAUACCUUCAGGGCUGUUCCACCUGGCUUCUCAUUGGUAUCCUGGUGACGACAGCUUGCUGACGUCGUUAGGAUCAGCUUCUGAACCAGGCUAGAGUGUGAGCAAAUUCGUUAAGGAUGUUAACGUAAUGGCUUAAACGAC
RNAcentral lists this ribosomal RNA (739 nucleotides) under Entrophospora etunicata. RNAcentral describes it as "eukaryotic LSU rRNA". It matches the Rfam family "Eukaryotic large subunit ribosomal RNA", at positions 58 to 648 of the family's 3401-position model. The record is from RNAcentral. Lineage: Eukaryota; Fungi; Glomeromycota; Glomeromycetes; Entrophosporales; Entrophosporaceae.